AAUCUUAGAGAAGCAAUUGCUGUUGUCCAUUAAUAUGGGAAGGGUUAUAAGGCCAUUUCAGAACAAUCUGAAGUCCAUCACUCUCCGGUAAGAAAGAUUAUUCACAAGUGAAAGAUACUGAAGACGUCUGCCAAUCUUCCCAGGAGUCGACAUCCCAGCAAAUUCACCCCAAGGUCAGACUGUGCAAAGCUCAGAGACGCUACCAAAAAAAGCUUACGUUUGCAGAACUGCAUUUAAACCAGUGGUUCCCAAACUUUCUUUGCUGGGCCCCCCUUUGUUUUACAAGAAAAUCUUUGUGCCCCCCUGGCACAAACGCAUCCUCCAACCACACACGCCCAUAUUUUGCAUAUAAACUCCAUUGCAGUUUAUUUCACACCUCAAACCUUUAGUAAACAUUAAAAAAAAUGAAAGUAAACUGCAAUAAAUUAGAGGUUACAAUAAAAUAAACUACCAACACUUUUAAAUAACAGAAAAACAAACCAUCUUUAUGGUGUAAUUAUUAUACGUGUAGUUUUUUGUUACUGUGUAAGAAUACUCAAUAUUGCUAUCAAUACAUUUUUCACAAAAUGCCUCUCUGUGCAAACAUAAACAACUGUGGGAUACUGUUUGUCCGGGAUUUGGACAGCCCAGCGGGUGCUCCCGAUGCAGGGGAAACAAAUUCUGAUCGGGAUACCUACCUUGGCGCCACCGUUGUGCAGGAAAGCAGAGGUGACUGCUUUUGAUACUAUGCUGACACUAUGGGGCUAUAUGCACUAACCUCCUCGGAACAGCAGAGGGAGCACUUUUGACAGUCUUCUGGGAGCCGGUUCCGCAUUGAAAAUGUGGUUGUGCAAUGCCUUUGCAAAGCUGAUCAUUCUCACUACAAGCCAGAGGAGGGAGCCAACUGGUCAACAAUGAAUCCUUUGUAUAGUCAUGGUAUAGCAUGGCACAUGGUGAACAAAGUGAUCUACUGUCACAUUCCUAUGUACAUUUCAAAACGUGUCAUCACCAUCACUCGGAGCAUGUUUUGACUCCAUGUGGAUACAGCAGAUCUGACCUUGCUUCUGAGCUUCAGUGAUGCUCUCCUCUGAUGGAUCUGCCAAAAAACAGAACAGAUGAUGGCAAACAGGCAUGUUCACAGUGCUGGUAUUUGGUCCCAUUCAGCAACAUGCAUGUGGUAUUUUUUUUUAAACAAGAAAAUGUGGGAUGUAAAAAUAAAACUUAACA
This is a long non-coding RNA of Astatotilapia calliptera (eastern happy), 1206 nucleotides long. NCBI's taxonomy places the organism in Eukaryota, Metazoa, Chordata, Actinopteri, Cichliformes, Cichlidae. The record is from Ensembl.